Long non-coding RNA from Sinocyclocheilus grahami, 640 nucleotides. RefSeq lists it as uncharacterized. Lineage: Eukaryota; Metazoa; Chordata; Actinopteri; Cypriniformes; Cyprinidae. The record is from RefSeq and is a predicted model, not a curated record. The transcript has 3 exons.
CCUCUAGACUAAAAGGGCUAGCAUGUAACAAGUGGGGGCUCGUCCGUUCAAGUGAAAGUUUACCUUGGUGUAAUUGUUUCAAGGCAGGCUACCAAACAAAUUAUUAAAGAUGACUUGCGUGAAAAGCUAGUCGAUGUAGGGAUUUUACCAGAUUACUCUGUUGUCGGUGCUGAGGAACAACCUGGAUUCACAGCACAAGCUGUGACCGUAGAUGCCAGUGCUACCGGUGCUGGAGCAGUCCUACUGCAGGAGGACUCCCGUGGAAUUGACCACCCCAUCUGCUUCUUCUCCAAGAAGUUCUCGAAAUGCCAACAACGCUACAGUACGAUUGAGAAGGAGGCCCUCGCCUUGCUGUUAGCUCUUCAGCAUUUCGAGGUUUACUUAGGAAGCAGUGCUGUGCCUAUCGACGUGCACACUGACCAUAACCCACUGAUCUUUCUCUCCCGCAUGUCCAACUCUAACCAACGUUUGAUGCGCUGGGCCCUAAUUGUCCAGGAGUAUAACCUUAAUCUCCAGUACAUCCGUGGUAAAGACAAUGUGGUGGCGGAUGCGCUCUCUAGGACUACAGAUUUGGAGACUUAACUGGGUUGGUCAAAACAAAACAAAAAAUUAUGACUGAGUGGCAUUACUAUUGGAGUUU